GAUGAAGAACGUAGCGAAAUGCGAUACGUAAUGUGAAUUGCAAAUUCAGUGAAUCAUCGAGUCUUUGAACGCACAUUGCGCCCCUUGGUAUUCCAUGGGGCAUGCCUGUUCGAGCGUCAUUUGUACCUUCAAGCUCUGCUUGGUGUUGGGUGUUUGUCUCGCCUCUGCGUGUAGACUCGCCUCAAAACAAUUGGCAGCCGGCGUAUUGAUUUCGGAGCGCAGUACAUCUCGCGCUUUGCACUCAUAACGACGACGUCCAAAAGUACAUUUUUACACUCUUGACCUCGGAUCAGGUAGGGAUACCCGCUGAACUUAAGCAUAUCAAUAAGCGGAGGA
This 336-nucleotide unclassified non-coding RNA is filed under the name soil metagenome. RNAcentral describes it as "partial contains 5.8S ribosomal RNA, internal transcribed spacer 2, and large subunit ribosomal RNA". The stretch from base 1 to 119 matches the Rfam family "5.8S ribosomal RNA", at positions 35 to 154 of the family's 154-position model. The record is from RNAcentral.